RNAcentral lists this long non-coding RNA (1098 nucleotides) under Sinocyclocheilus rhinocerous. Its description in RNAcentral is "lncRNA (ENSSRHG00000046734.1)". The record is from RNAcentral. Lineage: Eukaryota; Metazoa; Chordata; Actinopteri; Cypriniformes; Cyprinidae.
AGAAAUGUAAAAAUAGAGCAACAACGUCCCCGGAAAUGCGUAAGUGAGGAAACGGAUAUACGCAACGUAGCGGAAGAAAAUGUAUACAAUGGCAAUUUGGAAAUCAAUUAAGUUAUGAAAAAAAGAGCAUUAAUUGCCUUUCUUUGUGGUCGAUGUGUUAUGGAAUGGCGGACUGUGAGCAGUAGCGCCCCGUCAGACGCCGCUGUUUUGCCUCGACGGGAACCGUUAUUUGACGUGUCAGGCAGAAAGAGCAGGUAUAUUUGUGACAUCUGCUGAGCUUGACAAUAUAGCUAGAGUUGAGUGCUUAGAUUUGUGUGCUACAUAUCGACUGAAUAAACACACAGGCUGGGCGGCCGUGCAGUUCAGUACGUGUACUAACGUUACACGAACACAGACAUGCAUUCUGUCGCACUACGAGAUUAAUAACGUUAUAUCUUUUAUUUAGUUUACUGUAAAUGACGCAAGUCUUAUUUAUCUUAUAUGCCACCGUAAGAUUAGCACGUUAGCUCCCAGAUGCGCCAUGUAUCUGUUAAACGGGUUGUGCUAACGUGUAUGUCAGUAAUGUGUGUUAUUUCAGUGCUUUUAAAGGAUACUUUGGAGAAUGAGUUGAUUGUUUUCGAGGGAAUCCAGAGGAGGUUGCAAAUAAAAAGGCUAACUGGAAGAUGCCAAGAAGAAAACAACAGAAUCCACAACCAGUCAAGUGUGUCAAACAAGCUGACUGGUAGAUUCUUCUGAUGAUUUUAUAUGCUGUGUAUCCAGUGUCCUUUAUUUAAAAAGUUGUAAUGUGACUAACAAAAGUAGGAGUUAUUUCUGUGUUUGUGAUUACGAAGAAAAGCUGAAUUUUGCUGGUAAUUCAUUUUAAUAUUCAGCAAUUUUAAGAUUUUCAGUUGAAUGUGGUAAAUAACUGUCAUGGUAACUGAAUGAAUAAUAUUUUACGUGCUGUAAACAUAGCCUGCUUCAAAAGUAUUGGUUGUGUCAUUGUUUCUGCUUUCUUUUUAAAAAGUUGUGAUUAUUUUCAGUCUCGUCCAGCAGAUGGCAGUAAAAUUACAGUAAAGCCAGAGCCUGUUACUGGCCAAGUCGAUGCUGCUAGAUUUGCUA